Molecule: ribosomal RNA, 435 nt
Filed under: Latilactobacillus sakei
Lineage: Bacteria; Bacillati; Bacillota; Bacilli; Lactobacillales; Lactobacillaceae
Description: bacterial SSU rRNA
Rfam family: Bacterial small subunit ribosomal RNA
Source: RNAcentral
AGUAAACACUUUACCAAGGUCUUUGACAAUCACGUUUGGACCAAACUCUAGAAGAUUAAGAGCUUUCCCNUUCGGGGACAAAGUGACAGUGGUGCAUGGUUGUCGUCAGCUCGUGUCGUGAGAUGUUGGGUUAAGUCCCGCAACGAGCGCAACCNUUAUUACUAGUUGCCAGCAUUUAGUUGGGCACUCUAGUGAGACUGCCGGUGACAAACCGGAGGAAGGUGGGGACGACAGUCAAAUCAUCAUGCCCACUUAUGACACUGGGCUACACACGUGCUACAAUGGAUGGUACAACGAGUUGCGAGACCGCGAGGUUUAGCUAAUCUCUUAAAACCAUUCUCAGUUCGGAUUGUAGGCUGCAACUCGCCAUACAUGAAGCCAGGAAUCGCUAGUAAUACGCGGAUGAGCAUGCCGCGUGAUACGUCCCGCAUUCUU